UAGGAUUCCUCUGAUGGUAAUGGACCUUGU
Molecule: non-coding RNA, 30 nt
Filed under: Homo sapiens (human)
Lineage: Eukaryota; Metazoa; Chordata; Mammalia; Primates; Hominidae
Source: RNAcentral